GAUGAACGCUGGCGGCGUGCCUAACACAUGCAAGUCGAACGGAGAUUACGGACGGAAGUUUUCGGAUGGAAGACUGUAAUUCUUAGUGGCGGACGGGUGAGUAACGCGUGGGCAACCUGCCCUAUACAGGGGGAUAGCAGCUGGAAACGGCUGGUAAGACCGCAUAAGUCGGCGAGACCGCAUGGUUUUGCCGGGAAAUGAGCAAUCAGGUAUAGGAUGGGCCCGCGUCCGAUUAGCCAGUUGGCAGGGUAAAAGCCUACCAAAGCAACGAUCGGUAGCCGGACUGAGAGGUAGGACGGCCACAUUGGGACUGAGACACGGCCCAAACUCCUACGGGAGGCAGCAGUGGGGGAUAUUGCACAAUGGAGGAAACUCUGAUGCAGCGACGCCGCGUGAGUGAAGAAAUAUUUCGGUAUGUAAAGCUCUAUCAGCAGGGAAGAUGAUGACGGUACCUGACUAAGAAGCCCCGGCUAACUACGUG
Molecule: ribosomal RNA, 481 nt
Filed under: uncultured bacterium
Lineage: Bacteria
Description: partial 16S ribosomal RNA
Rfam family: Bacterial small subunit ribosomal RNA
Source: RNAcentral